Molecule: ribosomal RNA, 477 nt
Filed under: Bryodrilus diverticulatus
Lineage: Eukaryota; Metazoa; Annelida; Clitellata; Enchytraeida; Enchytraeidae
Description: partial 16S ribosomal RNA
Rfam family: Bacterial large subunit ribosomal RNA
Source: RNAcentral
UGCUUCUUGAUUUCAUAUAAGAAGUAAUCUCCUGCCCAGUGACACAUGUUAAACGGCCGCGGUAUCCUAACCGUGCAAAGGUAGCAUAAUAACUUGCCCAUUAAUUGUGGGCUAGAAUGAACGGGGUAACGAAAUAAGUUCUGUCUCAAUAAUUCAUAUAAAAACUAUUAUCCAAGUGAAGAAACUUAGAUUUAAAUAAAGGACAAGAAGACCCUAUAGAGCUUUAUUUUACUUAAAUAGAUUAUUUAAUAAAAUUCGGUUGGGGCGACCAAGGAAAAAUCAUCCUUAAUUUACAUGAUAAACAAAUCUUAUAAUAGAUCCUUUUAAAGAUCAAAGGAAUAAGCUACCUUAGGGAUAACAGGCUAAUCCUAUUAUAGAGCUCCUAUCAACAAUAGGGAUUGGCACCUCGAUGUUGGCUUAGAAUAUCUAUAUGGCGCAGAAGUCAUAGACAGAGGGUUUGUUCAACCCAUAACAUUC